AUACGUAGGUGACAAGCGUUAUCCGGAUUUACUGGGCGUAAAGGGCGUGUAGGCGGUCUUGCAAGUCAGAAGUGAAAUUCCUGAGCUCAACUCGGGCGCUGCUUCUGAAACUGCAGGACUUGAGUGCUGGAGGGGAUAGCGGAAUUCCUAGUGGAGCGGUAAAAUGCGCAGAUAUUAGGAAGAACACCGGUGGCGAAGGCGGCUAGCUGGACAGUAACUGACGCUGAGGCGCGAAAGCGUGGGGAGCAAACAGGAUUAGAUACCCGGGUAGUCCACGCCGUAAACGAUGAAUACUAGGUGUAGGGGGUAUCGACUCCCUCUGUGCCGCAGUUAACACAAUAAGUAUUCCGCCUGGGGAGUACGGCCGCAAGGUUGAAACUCAAAUGAAUUGACGGGG
This 397-nucleotide ribosomal RNA is filed under the name uncultured bacterium. RNAcentral's name for it is "partial 16S ribosomal RNA". It matches the Rfam family "Bacterial small subunit ribosomal RNA", at positions 523 to 918 of the family's 1533-position model. The record is from RNAcentral.